This 497-nucleotide ribosomal RNA is filed under the name uncultured bacterium. Its description in RNAcentral is "partial 16S ribosomal RNA". It matches the Rfam family "Bacterial small subunit ribosomal RNA", at positions 28 to 507 of the family's 1533-position model. The record is from RNAcentral.
GAUGAACGCUGGCGGCGUGCCUAAUACAUGCAAGUCGAGCGAACAGACGAGGAGCUUGCUCCUCUGACGUUAGCGGCGGACGGGUGAGUAACACGUGGAUAACCUACCUAUAAGACUGGGAUAACUUCGGGAAACCGGAGCUAAUACCGGAUAAUAUAUUGAACCGCAUGGGUCAAUAGUGAAAGACGGUUUUGCUGUCACUUAUAGAUGGAUCCGCGCCGCAUUAGCUAGUUGGUAAGGUAACGGCUUACCAAGGCAACGAUGCGUAGCCGACCUGAGAGGGUGGUCGGCCACACUGGAACUUGGCCACGGUCCAGACUCCUACGGGAGGCAGCAGUAGGGAAUCUUCCGCAAUGGGCGAAAGCCUGACGGAGCAACGCCGCGUGAGUGAUGAAGGUCUUCGGAUCGUAAAACUCUGUUAUUAGGGAAGAACAAAUGUGUAAGUAACUAUGCACGUCUUGACGGUACCUAAUCAGAAAGCCACGGCUAACUACGUG